AGAGUUUGAUCAUGGCUCAGAACGAACGCUGGCGGCAGGCUUAACACAUGCAAGUCGAGCGCCCCGCAAGGGGAGCGGCAGACGGGUGAGUAACGCGUGGGAAUCUACCCAGUUCUGCGGAAUAACUGAGGGAAACUUCAGCUAAUACCGCAUACGCCCUACGGGGGAAAGAUUUAUCGGAAUUGGAUGAGCCCGCGUUGGAUUAGCUAGUUGGUGAGGUAAUGGCUCACCAAGGCGACGAUCCAUAGCUGGUCUGAGAGGAUGAUCAGCCACACUGGGACUGAGACACGGCCCAGACUCCUACGGGAGGCAGCAGUGGGGAAUAUUGGACAAUGGGCGCAAGCCUGAUCCAGCCAUGCCGCGUGAGUGAUGAAGGCCUUAGGGUUGUAAAGCUCUUUCAGUGGGGAAGAUAAUGACGGUACCCACAGAAGAAGCCCCGGCUAACUUCGUGCCAGCAGCCGCGGUAAUACGAAGGGGGCUAGCGUUGUUCGGAUUUACUGGGCGUAAAGCGCACGUAGGCGGAUCGUUAAGUUAGGGGUGAAAUCCUGGAGCUCAACUCCAGAACUGCCCUUAAUACUGGCGAUCUCGAGUCCGGAAGAGGUAAGUGGAACUCCUAGUGUAGAGGUGGAAUCGUAGAUAUUAGGAAGAACACCAGUGGCGAAGGCGGCUUACUGGUCCGGUACUGACGCUGAAGUGCGAAAGCGUGGGGGCAAACAGGAUUAGAUACCCUAGUAGUCC
This 738-nucleotide ribosomal RNA is filed under the name uncultured bacterium. Its description in RNAcentral is "bacterial SSU rRNA". It matches the Rfam family "Bacterial small subunit ribosomal RNA", at positions 8 to 796 of the family's 1533-position model. The record is from RNAcentral.